AUACGGGGGGUGCAAGCGUUAAUCGGAAUUACUGGGCGUAAAGCGCGCGUAGGCGGUUUGCUCAGUCGGAUGUGAAAGCCCUGGGCUCAACCUGGGAAUUGCAUUCGAUACUGCCUGACUAGAGUAUGGUAGAGGGAAGUGGAAUUUCCGGUGUAGCGGUGAAAUGCGUAGAUAUCGGAAGGAACACCAGUGGCGAAGGCGACUUCCUGGGCCAAUACUGACACUGAGGUACGAAAGCGUGGGGAGCAAACAGGAUUAGAAACCCCAGUAGUCC
Molecule: ribosomal RNA, 274 nt
Filed under: uncultured bacterium
Lineage: Bacteria
Description: partial 16S ribosomal RNA
Rfam family: Bacterial small subunit ribosomal RNA
Source: RNAcentral